UGGGCUGUUUUUGGGCGGUUUUGGGCUGUUUUUGGAGCUGUUUGGGGGCGAUUUUGGUAUAAUUUGGGGCGUUUUGGGGUGGUUUUGGGGCUGGUUUUGGGUGUUUUGGGGUUUUUUUGGUUGUUUUUGGGGUGGUUUUGGGACAUUUUGGGGUUUUUUUGGUUGUUUUUGGGGUGUUUUUGGGGUGUUUUUGGGCAGUUCUGGGGUGGUUUUGUGCUGUUUUGGGGUUUGCUGGGGGACGCCUUCCUGCACCUCAUCCCCCACGCCCUGGGUGCGAUUUUGGGGCGUUUUGGGGCGUUUUGGGGUGUUUUGGGGUUUUUUUGGGUUUUUUUUGGCUGUUUUUGGGGUGUUUUUGGGGCUGUUUUGGGGUGUUUCUGGGGUGGUUUUGGAGCUGUUUGGGGACGAUUUUGUUCUGAUUUGGGGUGGUCUGGGACAUUUUGGGGUGUUUGGGGUUGGUUUUGGGUCAUUUUGGGUCAUUUUGGGUCAUUUUGGGGUGUUUUCUUGGUUGUUUUUUGGUUGUUUUUGGGCUGUUUUUGGGCUGUUUUUGGGGCUGUAUUUGGGCAGUUUUGGGGUGGUUUUGGGGACAUUUUGGGGAGGUUUUUGGGGUGUUUUUUUGGGGUGGUUUUGGGGCUGUUUUGGGGUUUGCUGGGGGACGCCUUCCUGCACCUCAUCCCCCACGCCCUGGGUGCGAUUUGGGGCGUUUUGGGGCUUUUUGGGGCUUUUUGGGGUGUUUUGGGGUGUUUUUGGGCUGGUUUUGGGGUGUUUUUGGGGCUGUAUUUGGGCAGUUUUGGGGUGUUUUUGGGGCUGUUUUGGGGUUUGCUGGGGGACGCCUUCCUGCACCUCAUCCCCCACGCCCUGGGUGCGAUUUUGGGGCGGUUUGGGUGUUUUUGGGGUGUUUUAGGUCAUUUUGGGGAGUUUUGGGUGGUUUUGGGGUGUUUUUGGGCUGUUUUUGGGCAGUUUUGGGGUGGUUUUGGGCCUGUUUGGGGUUGAUUUUGGUGUGAUUUGGGGUGUUUUGGGGUGGUUUUGGGACAUUUUGGGCUGGUUUUGGGUGUUUUGGAGCAUUUUGGGGUGUUUUGGGGUGUUUUGGGUCAUUUUGGGGAGUUUUGGGUGUUUUUGGGGUGUUUCUGGGGCUGUAUU
This 1137-nucleotide long non-coding RNA is filed under the name Cyanistes caeruleus (blue tit). RNAcentral's name for it is "lncRNA (ENSCCEG00000000539.1)". The record is from RNAcentral. Lineage: Eukaryota; Metazoa; Chordata; Aves; Passeriformes; Paridae.